UUCGUCCAAUUGAAGCAGAGGACAGUGGCGGACGGGUGAGUAACGCGUGAGGAACCUGCCUUGAAGAGGGGGACAACAGUUGGAAACGACUGCUAAUACCGCAUGAAGCAUAGGGGUCGCAUGAUCUUUAUGCCAAAGAUUUAUCGCUGAAAGAUGGCCUCGCGUCUGAUUAGCUAGUUGGUGAGGUAACGGCCCACCAAGGCGACGAUCAGUAGCCGGACUGAGAGGUUGAACGGCCACAUUGGGACUGAGAUACGGCCCAGACUCC
This 268-nucleotide ribosomal RNA is filed under the name uncultured Oscillibacter sp. RNAcentral describes it as "partial 16S ribosomal RNA". It matches the Rfam family "Bacterial small subunit ribosomal RNA", at positions 74 to 339 of the family's 1533-position model. Lineage: Bacteria; Bacillati; Bacillota; Clostridia; Eubacteriales; Oscillospiraceae. The record is from RNAcentral.